RNAcentral lists this long non-coding RNA (237 nucleotides) under Elaeis guineensis (African oil palm). RNAcentral's name for it is "long non-coding RNA (EGUI_LNC054147)". The record is from RNAcentral. Lineage: Eukaryota; Viridiplantae; Streptophyta; Magnoliopsida; Arecales; Arecaceae.
CUAGUUUGGUGUGCCCAAAAGACCCGUGCCCCAAACUUUUGUUUCACACCAUAUUCCCCUCCUUAUUAGCAUGUAAGAAAGAAAUAAAAACCCCCUCUUCACCAUGUAAAAUAUGGGAGAGAUCUGGUUUUGUUUGGGCGGCACAAAGAGGUUAGAGUCCAAGGCCCUUUGGACUCUAUCUCCUACUCAAAUUAGACUUCAUCCUUUGCCUAUAAAUAACCACCACCUUAGGAUGGC